This 491-nucleotide long non-coding RNA is filed under the name Homo sapiens (human). RNAcentral's name for it is "HSALNT0002403". The record is from RNAcentral. Lineage: Eukaryota; Metazoa; Chordata; Mammalia; Primates; Hominidae.
AGCCAGAGGGACGAGCUAGCCCGACGAUGGCCCAGGGGACAUUGAUCCGUGUGACCCCAGAGCAGCCCACCCAUGCCGUGUGUGUGCUGGGCACCUUGACUCAGCUUGACAUCUGCAGGCAUUGUAAAGACCCUGUUUCUCCAGCUGUGCAGCUGCAAGGUCACUAGACAGAUAAACUCAAGCUGUAAAAAUUUUUUUCCUUAAAAAGUAAAAAAUAAUAUAAUGCAUGUCUCAAUUAAAUAACUGUCUUUGUUUCUUGCCUCUAUAAUAUGCUUCCCCCUGCACAGAUCUACCCCCGCCCCAUGAAAUGCUUAAAAGAUAACUUAACUCUUUGUUCAGGGCUCAGUCUUUUGAAAUGUUAGCCUGACUGAGCCAGUGAAUCUAAAUAAUAAAUCCUCCUCAACCCCUCGGUCUCUCUGAUUCCUAAAUUAUCCUGCAACAAUUGCUGUUGUCAGGAAUAGGAGUGGUUGCCCCUGGCUUCCCCAUCCCAG